This 498-nucleotide ribosomal RNA is filed under the name uncultured bacterium. RNAcentral describes it as "partial 16S ribosomal RNA". It matches the Rfam family "Bacterial small subunit ribosomal RNA", at positions 30 to 523 of the family's 1533-position model. The record is from RNAcentral.
AUUGAACGCUGGCGGCAUGCUUUACACAUGCAAGUCGAACGGUAACAGGCCGCAAGGUGCUGACGAGUGGCGAACGGGUGAGUAAUGCAUCGGAACGUGCCCAGUCGUGGGGGAUAACGCUGCGAAAGCUGUGCUAAUACCGCAUACGAUCUAUGGAAGAAAGCGGGGGACCGUAAGGCCUCGCGCGAUUGGAGCGGCCGAUGUCAGAUUAGGUAGUUGGUGGGGUAAAGGCUCACCAAGCCAACGAUCUGUAGCUGGUCUGAGAGGACGACCAGCCACACUGGGACUGAGACACGGCCCAGACUCCUACGGGAGGCAGCAGUGGGGAAUUUUGGACAAUGGGCGCAAGCCUGAUCCAGCAAUGCCGCGUGCAGGAAGAAGGCCUUCGGGUUGUAAACUGCUUUUGUACGGAACGAAAAGGUUUGGGUUAAUACCCUGGGCCGAUGACGGUACCGUAAGAAUAAGCACCGGCUAACUACGUGCCAGCCGCCGCAGUAA